RNAcentral lists this ribosomal RNA (502 nucleotides) under uncultured bacterium. RNAcentral's name for it is "partial 16S ribosomal RNA". It matches the Rfam family "Bacterial small subunit ribosomal RNA", at positions 29 to 523 of the family's 1533-position model. The record is from RNAcentral.
AUUGAACGCUGGCGGCAUGCUUUACAUAUGCAAGUCGAACGGUAACAGGGGAGCUUGCUCCCGCUGACGAGUGGCGAACGGGUGAGUAAUGCAUCGGAACGUGCCGAAUAGUGGGGGAUAACGCACCGAAAGGUGUGCUAAUACCGCAUACGCCCUGAGGGGGAAAGUGGGGGACCGCAAGGCCUCACGCUAAUCGAGCGGCCGAUGUCGGAUUAGCUAGUUGGUGGGGUAAAGGCUCACCAAGGCGACGAUCCGUAGCGGGUCUGAGAGGAUGAUCCGCCACACUGGGACUGAGACACGGCCCAGACUCCUACGGGAGGCAGCAGUGGGGAAUUUUGGACAAUGGGGGAAACCCUGAUCCAGCCAUGCCGCGUGUCUGAAGAAAGCCUUCGGGUUGUAAAGGACUUUUGUCCGGGAGGAAACCCUGAUCGUUAAUAGCGGUCGGGACUGACAGUACCGGAAGAAUAAGCACCGGCUAACUACGUGCCAGCAGCCGCCGUAA